Molecule: ribosomal RNA, 497 nt
Filed under: uncultured bacterium
Lineage: Bacteria
Description: partial 16S ribosomal RNA
Rfam family: Bacterial small subunit ribosomal RNA
Source: RNAcentral
GAUGAACGCUGGCGGCGUGCCUAAUACAUGCAAGUCGAGCGAACAGACGAGGAGCUUGCUCCUUUGACGUUAGCGGCGGACGGGUGAGUAACACGUGGGUAACCUACCUAUAAGACUGGGAUAACUUCGGGAAACCGGAGCUAAUACCGGAUAAUAUUUCGAACCGCAUGGUUCGAUAGUGAAAGAUGGCUUUGCUAUCACUUCUAGAUGGACCUGCGCCGUAUUAGCUAGUUGGUAAGGUAACGGCUUACCAAGGCAACGAUACGUAGCCGACCUGAGAGGGUGAUCGGCCACACGGGAACUGAGACACGGUCCAGACUCCUACGGGAGGCAGCAGUAGGGAAUCUUCCGCAAUGGGGGAAAGCCUGACGGAGCAACGCCGCGUGAGUGAUGAAGGUCUUCGGAGCGUAAAACUCUGUUAUUAGGGAAGAACAAACGUGUAAGUAACUGUGCACGUCUUGACGGUACCUAAUCAGAAAGCCACGGCUAACUACGUG